GACGAACGCUGGCGGCGUGCUUAACACAUGCAAGUCGAACGGAAAGGCCCUGCUUUUGUGGGGUGCUCGAGUGGCGAACGGGUGAGUAACACGUGAGUAACCUGCCCUUGACUUUGGGAUAACUUCAGGAAACUGGGGCUAAUACCGGAUAGGAGCUCCUGCUGCAUGGUGGGGGUUGGAAAGUUUCGGCGGUUGGGGAUGGACUCGCGGCUUAUCAGCUUGUUGGUGGGGUAGUGGCUUACCAAGGCUUUGACGGGUAGCCGGCCUGAGAGGGUGACCGGCCACAUUGGGACUGAGAUACGGCCCAGACUGCUACGGGAGGCAGCAGUGGGGAAUAUUGCGCAAUGGGCGGAAGCCUGAUGCAGCAACGCCGCGUGCGGGAUGACGGCCUUAGGGUUGUAAACCGCUUUCGCCUGUGACGAAGCGUGAGUGACGGUAAUGGGUAAAGAAGCACCGGCUAACUACGUG
Molecule: ribosomal RNA, 468 nt
Filed under: uncultured bacterium
Lineage: Bacteria
Description: partial 16S ribosomal RNA
Rfam family: Bacterial small subunit ribosomal RNA
Source: RNAcentral